AGAGUUUGAUCCUGGCUCAGGACGAACGCUGGCGGCGCGCCUAACACAUGCAAGUCGAACGAGCGAGAGAGAGCUUGCUUUCUCAAGCGAGUGGCGAACGGGUGAGUAACGCGUGAGGAACCUGCCUCAAAGAGGGGGACAACAGUUGGAAACGACUGCUAAUACCGCAUAAGCCCACAGCUCGGCAUCGAGCAGAGGGAAAAGGAGCAAUCCGCUUUGAGAUGGCCUCGCGUCCGAUUAGCUAGUUGGUGAGGUAAUGGCCCACCAAGGCGACGAUCGGUAGCCGGACUGAGAGGUUGAACGGCCACAUUGGGACUGAGACACGGCCCAGACUCCUACGGGAGGCAGCAGUGGGGAAUAUUGCACAAUGGGGGAAACCCUGAUGCAGCGACGCCGCGUGGAGGAAGAAGGUCUUCGGAUUGUAAACUCCUGUUGUUGAGGAAGAUAAUGACGGUACUCAACAAGGAAGUGACGGCUAACUACGUGCCAGCAGCCGCGGUAAAACGUAGGUCACAAGCGUUGUCCGGAAUUACUGGGUGUAAAGGGAGCGCAGGCGGGAAGACAAGUUGGAAGUGAAAUCUAUGGGCUCAACCCAUAAACUGCUUUCAAAACUGUUUUUCUUGAGUAGUGCAGAGGUAGGCGGAAUUCCCGGUGUAGCGGUGGAAUGCGUAGAUAUCGGGAGGAACACCAGUGGCGAAGGCGGCCUACUGGGCACCAACUGACGCUGAGGCUCGAAAGUGUGGGUAGCAAACAGGAUUAGAUACCCUGGUAGUCCACACCGUAAACGAUGAUUACUAGGUGUUGGAGGAUUGACCCCUUCAGUGCCGCAGUUAACACAAUAAGUAAUCCACCUGGGGAGUACGACCGCAAGGUUGAAACUCAAAGGAAUUGACGGGGGCCCGCACAAGCAGUGGAGUAUGUGGUUUAAUUCGACGCAACGCGAAGAACCUUACCAAGUCUUGACAUCCUGCGACGCACAUAGAAAUAUGUGUUUCCUUCGGGACGCAGGGACAGGUGGUGCAUGGUUGUCGUCAGCUCGUGUCGUGAGAUGUUGGGUUAAGUCCCGCAACGAGCGCAACCCUUACUGUCAGUUACUACGCAAGAGGACUCUGGCAGGACUGCCGUUGACAAAACGGAGGAAGGUGGGGAUGACGUCAAAUCAUCAUGCCCUUUAUGACUUGGGCUACACACGUACUACAAUGGCGUUAAACAAAGAGAAGCAAGACCGCGAGGUGGAGCAAAACUCAGAAACAACGUCCCAGUUCGGACUGCAGGCUGCAACUCGCCUGCACGAAGUCGGAAUUGCUAGUAAUCGUGGAUCAGCAUGCCACGGUGAAUACAUUCCCGGGCCUGUACACACCGCCCGUCA
Molecule: ribosomal RNA, 1369 nt
Filed under: uncultured bacterium
Lineage: Bacteria
Description: 16S ribosomal RNA
Rfam family: Bacterial small subunit ribosomal RNA
Source: RNAcentral